GCUUGAGAAAGGAAUUUCAGUUCAGCCUAAAGUCAUUUUUCUACACAUAAAUUACCAAUUUUCUUUAGAGUAAUUCAAUUAGGGAACAGCCUUAUUGAACUAGGACACAACCUUGAUCUAUGGGUAACCACAUUAAAACAUUUAAGUAGGCUUAAAAGCAGCCACCUUCAUUAAAGCGUCAAAGCUAAUCCAAAUUUUUCUAAUACCUCACCCAUCCCCGAUCCCUACAAUGAUAUCAAGCAUCUCUAUAAAAUAUAGAACUUCUAAUGUUAAAACUAGUACCAAGAAGCUAGCCCUUCUCUAUAAUGUAAAUGUAAGCCAGCUUGAACCCCAUCACUGGCGUUUAGCAGUCCAAGCUCGAGUAAUACCCACCCACCCGAAAACCCUACUCAUCCCCCUGUUAACCUAACACCAGAACAUUACAAGAAAGAUUAAAAGAAAAAGAAGGAACUCGGCAAAUAUUUUUCCCGCCUGUUUACCAAAAACAUCGCCUCUUGAAACCCAUAAGAGGUCCAGCCUGCCCAGUGACUUAGUUU
Molecule: ribosomal RNA, 536 nt
Filed under: Yunganastes ashkapara
Lineage: Eukaryota; Metazoa; Chordata; Amphibia; Anura; Strabomantidae
Description: partial 16S ribosomal RNA
Source: RNAcentral